GAUGAAGAACGUAGCGAAAUGCGAAAAGUAAUGCGAAUUGCAGAAUCCGUGAGUCAUCGAAUCUUUGAACGCACAUUGCGCCCUUUGGUAUUCCGAAGGGCAUGCCUGUUCGAGCGUCAUUAUCACCACUCAAGCCCGGCUUGCUGUUGGUGGCAGCGCAGCCGGUCAACCGGCUACGCUCCACCCAAAGAUAAUGACGGCGUCUGCGAGGACUCCUGUACAUUGAGCUUUCGGGCACGUACAUGGCUAGAAGUCCAGGCGCCGGUCGACGUCCUCCGGGACACUUUUUACCAAGGUUGACCUCGGAUCAGGUAGGGAUACCCGCUGAACUUAAGCAUAUCAAUAAGCGGAGGA
Molecule: unclassified non-coding RNA, 354 nt
Filed under: soil metagenome
Description: partial contains 5.8S ribosomal RNA, internal transcribed spacer 2, and large subunit ribosomal RNA
Rfam family: 5.8S ribosomal RNA (bases 1-119)
Source: RNAcentral